RNAcentral lists this ribosomal RNA (497 nucleotides) under uncultured bacterium. RNAcentral describes it as "partial 16S ribosomal RNA". It matches the Rfam family "Bacterial small subunit ribosomal RNA", at positions 28 to 507 of the family's 1533-position model. The record is from RNAcentral.
GAUGAACGCUGGCGGCGUGCCUAAUACAUGCAAGUCGAGCGAACAGACGAGGAGCUUGCUCCUCUGACGUUAGCGGCGGACGGGUGAGUAACACGUGGAUAACCUACCUAUAAGACUGGGAUAACUUCGGGAAACCGGAGCUAAUACCGGAUAAUAUAUUGAACCGCAUGGUUCAAUAGUGAAAGACGGUUUUGCUGUCACUUAUAGAUGGAUCCGCGCCGCAUUAGCUAGUUGGUAAGGUAACGGCUUACCAAGGCAACGAUGCGUAGCCGACCUGAGAGGGUGAUCGGCCACACUGGAACUGAGACACGGUCCAGACUCCUACGGGAGGCAGCAGUAGGGAAUCUUCCGCAAUGGGCGAAAGCUUGACGGAGCAACGCCGCGUCAGUGAUGAAGGUCUUCGGAUCGUAAAACUCUGUUAUUAGGGAAGAACAAAUGUGUAAGUAACUAUGCACGUCUUGACGGUACCUAAUCAGAAAGCCACGGCUAACUACGUG